RNAcentral lists this ribosomal RNA (470 nucleotides) under uncultured Glomus. RNAcentral describes it as "SSU rRNA". It matches the Rfam family "Eukaryotic small subunit ribosomal RNA", at positions 569 to 1043 of the family's 1831-position model. The record is from RNAcentral. Lineage: Eukaryota; Fungi; Glomeromycota; Glomeromycetes; Glomerales; Glomeraceae.
AGCAGCCGCGGUAAUUCCAGCUCCAAUAGCGUAUAUUAAAGUUGUUGCAGUUAAAAAGCUCGUAGUUGAAUUUCGGGAUCAAUUAAUUGGUCGUGCCUCUGGUACGUACUGAUUUUAUUGGUUUCUCCCUUCUGACGAACCAUGAUGUCAUUAAUUUGAUGUCGUGGAGAAUCAGGACUGUUACUUUGAAAAAAUUAGAGUGUUUAAAGCAAGCUAACGCUUGAAUACAUUAGCAUGGAAUAAUGAAAUAGGACGUUUGAUCCUAUUUUGUUGGUUUCUAGGAUCGACGUAAUGAUUAAUAGGGAUAGUUGGGGGCAUUAGUAUUCAAUUGUCAGAGGUGAAAUUCUUGGUUUUAUUGAAGACUAACUACUGCGAAAGCAUUUGCCAAGGAUGUUUUCAUUAAUCAAGAACGAAAGUUAGGGGAUCGAAGACGAUCAGAUACCGUCGUAGUCUUAACCAUAAACUAUGCC